RNAcentral lists this transfer RNA (89 nucleotides) under candidate division WWE3 bacterium CG10_big_fil_rev_8_21_14_0_10_32_10. Its description in RNAcentral is "tRNA-Ser". It matches the Rfam family "tRNA". Rfam says of the family: Transfer RNA (tRNA) molecules are approximately 80 nucleotides in length. Their secondary structure includes four short double-helical elements and three loops (D, anti-codon, and T loops). Further hydrogen bonds mediate the characteristic L-shaped molecular structure. tRNAs have two regions of fundamental functional importance: the anti-codon, which is responsible for specific mRNA codon recognition, and the 3' end, to which the tRNAs corresponding amino acid is attached (by aminoacyl-tRNA synthetases). tRNAs cope with the degeneracy of the genetic code in two manners: having more than one tRNA (with a specific anti-codon) for a particular amino acid; and 'wobble' base-pairing, i.e. permitting non-standard base-pairing at the 3rd anti-codon position. Lineage: Bacteria; candidate division WWE3. The record is from RNAcentral.
GGGGAAAUGGCAGAAUGGUAAUGCGGCAGACUUGAAAUCUGUGGCCCGCCCUUGAGACGGUGUGGGUUCAAAUCCUACUUUCCCCGCCA